Molecule: ribosomal RNA, 305 nt
Filed under: uncultured bacterium
Lineage: Bacteria
Description: partial 16S ribosomal RNA
Rfam family: Bacterial small subunit ribosomal RNA
Source: RNAcentral
ACAGCAGCCGCCGCGGUAAUACGAAGGGGGCUAGCGUUGUUCGGAUUUACUGGGCGUAAAUGGCGCGUAGGCGGACUGAUAAGUCAGGGGUGAAAUCCCAAGGCUCAACCUUGGAACUGCCUUUGAUACUGUUUGUCUUGAGUUCGAGAGAGGUAAGUGGAACUGCGAGUGUAGAGGUGAAAUUCGUAGAUAUUGGGAAGAGCACCGGUGGCGAAGGCGGCAACCUGGUCCGAGACUGACGCUGAGGCGCGAAAGCGUGGGGAGCAAACAGGAUUAGAUACCCGUGUAGUCCCUGUCUCUUAUAC